GACGAACGCUGGCGGCGUGCUUAACACAUGCAAGUGGAGCGACGAACCAGGGCUUGCCCUGGGGCAGAGCCGCGAACGGGUGAGUAACACGUGGGUAACCUACCCCGAUGACCGGGACAACCCGAGGAAACUCGAGCUAAUACCGGAUGAAUUCUCGUCACACCAGUGGCGUGAGAAAAGGUAGCUUCGGCUUCCGCAUUGGGAUGGGCCCGCGGCCCAUUAGCUUGUUGGUGAGGUAACGGCUUACCAAGGCGACGAUGGGUAGCUGGUCUGAGAGGACGAUCAGCCACACUGGGACUGAGACACGGCCCAGACUCCUACGGGAGGCAGCAGUGGGGAAUCUUGCGCAAUGCGCGAAAGCGUGACGCAGCAACGCCGCGUGCGGGAAGACGGCCCUCGGGUUGUAAACCGCUUUCAGUUGGGACGAAGCCUGUCCGGUUAAUAGCCGGUGCAGGUGACGGUACCUUCAGAAGAAGCCCCGGCUAACUACGUGCCAGCAGCCGCCGUAACAC
This 512-nucleotide ribosomal RNA is filed under the name uncultured bacterium. RNAcentral describes it as "bacterial SSU rRNA". It matches the Rfam family "Bacterial small subunit ribosomal RNA", at positions 28 to 526 of the family's 1533-position model. The record is from RNAcentral.